Molecule: long non-coding RNA, 779 nt
Filed under: Gallus gallus (chicken)
Lineage: Eukaryota; Metazoa; Chordata; Aves; Galliformes; Phasianidae
Source: RNAcentral
UACCUGGAAAGCUGAACUGAUGUGCUGCUAACAAACCCUAGAGGACCCAGCAUGAAGACAGCAUUUCCAUUACCAGCAUUGACUAUAAGCAGGAAAACAGCCUAUGGGCAAGGACCCUACAAAGCCAGGAAGGAACAGCCAGGAAAAAUAAAGCUACCUUCUCAUGAUGACUUCCCCUCCAGCUAAGGAGACUUCUGCCAUUUAUUCUGCAGCAGAACAGUUUGUAUCUUCAUCUUCAUGUCACUGCAUAAGUCAGGCAUACUGCUGAUUGGUGAUGAGCAAACGGUUGCUAGAACUUCACUGAGGAUAAGAGAUCCUGCCCCAGUGCAAGAAGAUGCUCUGAGCCACUUCUCUAGGUCCUUUCCUCUGAUAGCUGCGUCUAUGGGACACGCAUCACAGGCUGCAGGGAGGCUGCCUUGGCGCCACCAGCAAGCAGUUCCUGCCUGAAGUUGCGUAUUUUCGCCACGAGAGGUUGUAAGAGGGAAAGAGAAAAAUGCUUUAAAGCGAUCGAGCUGCUGCAGCGCUCCGAAGUGCAAGGAUUUCCUCUGGACCCCCUGGGUCUAUUUGGUCCAAGCACUCACAACAUCCCUGUAUAUAUACCCUGUAUUUUAGACGGGCUCUCGGCCUUUUGUUUUGGAAAUCAGACCUUGAAGCUAAGUGAUCCCGGAACGGCAUAACCAGAAAUAGCUCUGGUGUAGCAAUAAGUUGAACUUUGACCAAAUGAAGGAUUUACAGUUUUCCUCCUGUUUUCCACACUUCUGGCAGCACAGGGACUGCUU